This 357-nucleotide ribosomal RNA is filed under the name Escherichia coli. RNAcentral's name for it is "bacterial SSU rRNA". It matches the Rfam family "Bacterial small subunit ribosomal RNA", at positions 1166 to 1522 of the family's 1533-position model. The record is from RNAcentral. RNAcentral also lists the same sequence under 2 other names. Lineage: Bacteria; Pseudomonadati; Pseudomonadota; Gammaproteobacteria; Enterobacterales; Enterobacteriaceae.
GAGGAAGGUGGGGAUGACGUCAAGUCAUCAUGGCCCUUACGACCAGGGCUACACACGUGCUACAAUGGCGCAUACAAAGAGAAGCGACCUCGCGAGAGCAAGCGGACCUCAUAAAGUGCGUCGUAGUCCGGAUUGGAGUCUGCAACUCGACUCCAUGAAGUCGGAAUCGCUAGUAAUCGUGGAUCAGAAUGCCACGGUGAAUACGUUCCCGGGCCUUGUACACACCGCCCGUCACACCAUGGGAGUGGGUUGCAAAAGAAGUAGGUAGCUUAACCUUCGGGAGGGCGCUUACCACUUUGUGAUUCAUGACUGGGGUGAAGUCGUAACAAGGUAACCGUAGGGGAACCUGCGGUUGGA